UUACAUUCAAUGAUUUUGAUUGAUUCAAUUUCUAGGUCAAUACUGAAUCUGGGAAAAUCUUUCUCUCGGUUUUACAAGGACUAGCUGGUGGAACUCUACUUUAUGUAACAGUCAGCGAAGUUCUACCUCGAGAGAGAUCACGAUGGCACAACAGAUCCAAACAAUCAUCCGGACUCGUUCAGUUUUUAGCAACAGCUUCUGGAUUCGCUGUUAUAUUCUUCAUUAAUCAAUAUUUAGAAAUGCAUCACUGAAAGUCGUGGCAUGAAGGGUUCCAGUGUCCAGAAGAAGGUGAACGCUCUAAUAUUUUUAGCUGGAAUAUUUCGAAGCUAUAAUUUAUUCAAUUGCAAUAUUUUUUGUUGUGUUACUUUAAGAGGUACCCGCAAAAUAAUAAAAAGACUUUAAUUUGUAA
This is a long non-coding RNA of Fopius arisanus, 409 nucleotides long. RefSeq lists it as uncharacterized. The transcript has 2 exons. Lineage: Eukaryota; Metazoa; Arthropoda; Insecta; Hymenoptera; Braconidae. The record is from RefSeq and is a predicted model, not a curated record.